This 253-nucleotide ribosomal RNA is filed under the name uncultured bacterium. RNAcentral's name for it is "partial 16S ribosomal RNA". It matches the Rfam family "Bacterial small subunit ribosomal RNA", at positions 524 to 776 of the family's 1533-position model. The record is from RNAcentral.
UACGUAGGUGGCGAGCGUUGUCCGGAUUUAUUGGGCGUAAAGGGCGCGCAGGUGGUGCGGUAAGGCUGCCGUGAAAUCUCCCGGCUCAACUGGGAGGGGGCGGUGGCGACUGCCGGACUGGAGGCACUCAGAGGCCGGUGGAAUUCCCGGUGUAGUGGUGAAAUGCGUAGAGAUCGGCAGGAAGACCAAGGGGGAAGCCAGGCACCUGGGCCCGUACUGACACUCAUGGACGACCGCGUGGGGAGCGAACCGG